This 253-nucleotide ribosomal RNA is filed under the name uncultured bacterium. Its description in RNAcentral is "partial 16S ribosomal RNA". It matches the Rfam family "Bacterial small subunit ribosomal RNA", at positions 524 to 776 of the family's 1533-position model. The record is from RNAcentral.
UACGGGGGGUGCAAGCGUUAUCCGGAUUCACUGGGGUUAAAGGGUGCGUAGGAGGGCAGGUAAGUCAGUGGUGAAAUCUCCAAGCUUAACUUGGAAACUGCCGUUGAUACUAUCUGUCUUGAAUAUUGUGGAGGUGAGCGGAAUAUGUCAUGUAGCGGUGAAAUGCUUAGAUAUGACAUAGAACACCAAUUGCGAAGGCAGCUCACUACUCAAUCAUUGACUCUGAGGCACGAAAGCGUGGGGAUCAAACAGG